ACGAACGCUGGCGGCGUGCCUAAUACAUGCAAGUCGAGCGGACUGAUUAAGAGCUUGCUCUUAUGACGUUAGCGGCGGACGGGUGAGUAACACGUGGGCAACCUGCCCUGUAGAUCGGGAUAACACCGAGAAAUCGGUGCUAAUACCGGGUAAUAUCUGAGAUCACAUGAUCUUAGGUUAAAAGAUGGCUCCGGCUAUCACUACAGGAUGGGCCCGCGGCGCAUUAGCUAGUUGGUAAGGUAAUGGCUUACCAAGGCGACGAUGCGUAGCCGACCUGAGGGGGUGAUCGGCCACACUGGGACUGAGACACGGCCCAGACUCCUACGGGAGGCAGCAGUAGGGAAUCUUCCGCAAUGGACGAAAGUCUGACGGAGCAACGCCGCGUGAGUGAUGAAGGGUUUCGGCUCGUAAAGCUCUGUUGUUAGGGAAGAAACAGUACCGAACGAACUAGGUCGGUACCUUGACGGUACCUAACCAGAAAGCCACGGCUAACUACGUG
Molecule: ribosomal RNA, 499 nt
Filed under: uncultured bacterium
Lineage: Bacteria
Description: partial 16S ribosomal RNA
Rfam family: Bacterial small subunit ribosomal RNA
Source: RNAcentral